Molecule: ribosomal RNA, 123 nt
Filed under: Pteropus alecto (black flying fox)
Lineage: Eukaryota; Metazoa; Chordata; Mammalia; Chiroptera; Pteropodidae
Source: RNAcentral
GUCUAUGGCCGUGCCACCCUGAAUGUGCCUGAUCAUUACUGAUCUCAGAAGCUAAGCAGGGUUGGGCCUGGUUAGUACUUGGAUGGGAGGGAUUCCACUUAGGAAUACCAGGUACUGUAGGCA